GAGUUUGAUCCUGGCUCAGAUUGAACGCUGGCGGCAUGCUUUACACAUGCAAGUCGAACGGCAGCACGGGUGCUUGCACCUGGUGGCGAGUGGCGGACGGGUGAGUAAUACAUCGGAACGUGUCCUUAAGUGGGGGAUAACGCAUCGAAAGAUGUGCUAAUACCGCAUAAUCUCUGAGGAGAAAAGUAGGGGAUCGAAAGACCUUAUGCUUUUGGAGCGGCCGAUGUCUGAUUAGCUAGUUGGUAAGGUAACGGCUUACCAAGGCGACGAUCAGUAGUUGGUCUGAGAGGACGACCAGCCACACUGGGACUGAGACACGGCCCAGACUCCUACGGGAGGCAGCAGUGGGGAAUUUUGGACAAUGGGCGCAAGCCUGAUCCAGCAAUGCCGCGUGAGUGAAGAAGGCCUUCGGGUUGUAAAGCUCUUUUAGUUGAAAAGAAAAAAUCGUGACUAAUAAUCACGAUUUAUGACGGUAUCAACAGAAAAAGCACCGGCUAACUACGUGCCAGCAGCCGGCGGUAA
This 522-nucleotide ribosomal RNA is filed under the name uncultured Nitrosomonas sp. RNAcentral's name for it is "bacterial SSU rRNA". It matches the Rfam family "Bacterial small subunit ribosomal RNA", at positions 9 to 523 of the family's 1533-position model. Lineage: Bacteria; Pseudomonadati; Pseudomonadota; Betaproteobacteria; Nitrosomonadales; Nitrosomonadaceae. The record is from RNAcentral.